GGAGAAUCUUAGACAAUGGGGGAAACCCUGAUCUAGCCAUGCCGCGUGAUCGAUGAAGGCCUUAGGGUUGUAAAGAUCUUUCAGAUGGGAAGAUAAUGACGGUACCAUCAGAAGAAGCCCCGGCUAACUCCGUGCCAGCAGCCGCGGUAAUACGGAGGGGGCUAGCGUUGUUCGGAAUUACUGGGCGUAUAGCGCACGUAGGCGGAACAGAAAGUCAGAGGUGAAAUCCCAGGGCUCAACCUUGGAACUGCCUUUGAAACUCCUGUUCUUGAGGUCGAGAGAGGUGAGUGGAAUUCCGAGUGUAGAGGUGAAAUUCGUAGAUAUUCGGAGGAACACCAGUGGCGAAGGCGGCUCACUGGCUCGAUACUGACGCUGAGGUGCGAAAGCGUGAGGAGCAAAC
This 400-nucleotide ribosomal RNA is filed under the name uncultured bacterium. Its description in RNAcentral is "bacterial SSU rRNA". It matches the Rfam family "Bacterial small subunit ribosomal RNA", at positions 356 to 773 of the family's 1533-position model. The record is from RNAcentral.